This 589-nucleotide long non-coding RNA is filed under the name Physcomitrium patens. Its description in RNAcentral is "long non-coding RNA (PPAT_LNC000508)". Lineage: Eukaryota; Viridiplantae; Streptophyta; Bryopsida; Funariales; Funariaceae. The record is from RNAcentral.
GAACCUCAACACCUCAUAAAUCUUGAUCUAACCGUCCAAACAAGAUCAAAAUUUACAUUAAGUACUGAUAUGUUGUUAUUAAUUUGUACAACAAAUUUUAACCACAAAUUCGUUGCGGUUCUUGAGAUAUCUUCAAAACCCUAACAGUCGCUUCAAAUCCUAAUCUUUAUAUACCCACGCACAAUUUUCUUCAUAUCUCACAAACCAUAAGUUCAAAUGCCACGAAACUUAUAUAGAUAGCUUCUUAACACAAAUUUUUACAUUCUCCCAAAGUUUGAGCCAAAAUUUCGUUCGAAAACUCAUGUUAUGGCUCCUAACACUACUUUGAACAAAAACGCUCACUUACUGCCUUUGAUUUGAAUGCGCUGUCUUUAACUCCCUAUAACUCCUUCACAUAAACUCCAAAUGCAAAAUCUCCUUCGCAAAAGAUGUAUGUCUUGAAGUAUCCCUUCCAGCCGCACCUUACGAUCUCCAAAAGCUUCCGUAAGACUCCUCUUAAACUCAAAAGAGUAACAGUAGGUCUCAAAUUGACAUCUUAACUUCAAACGGCUAUAACUUAUUCACUCUAACUCCAAAUCCUAUAAAAUUU